AUUGAACGCUGGCGGUAGGCCUAACACAUGCAAGUCGAGCGGAAGCAGAGUGCUUGCUUGCUGUUUCAGCGGCGGAGGGGUGAGUAAUGCCUGGGAACCUCCCUGGCAGCGGGGGCGAAGGUCCGGACACGGGCGCAAUUACCCUAAUAGCCCUGAGGAACAAAGGGGGGAAUCUUCGGAUCUUACGACCUCACAUGAGCCAAGGUCGGAUUAGCUAGUUGGUGGGGUAACGGCCUAACAAGGCGACGAUCCGAAACUGGUCUGAGAGGAUGAUCAGUCACACUGGAACUGAGACACGGUCCAGACUCCUACGGGAGGCAGCAGUGGGGAAUAUUGGACAAUGGGCGAAAGCCUGAUCCAGCCAUACCGCGUGUGUGAAGAAGGUCUUCGGGUUGUAAAGCACUUUAGGUUGGGAGGAAAAGCAGUAGGUUAAUACCUUGCUGUUUUGACGUUACCAACAGAAUAAGCACCGGCUAACUUCGUG
RNAcentral lists this ribosomal RNA (484 nucleotides) under uncultured bacterium. Its description in RNAcentral is "partial 16S ribosomal RNA". It matches the Rfam family "Bacterial small subunit ribosomal RNA", at positions 30 to 507 of the family's 1533-position model. The record is from RNAcentral.